Molecule: transfer RNA, 109 nt
Filed under: Alishewanella sp. SMS8
Lineage: Bacteria; Pseudomonadati; Pseudomonadota; Gammaproteobacteria; Alteromonadales; Alteromonadaceae
Description: tRNA-Leu
Source: RNAcentral
GCCGCUAGGGCGAAAAAAAGUCGAAAAUGUAAACGCCAAAGAGCGAUUAACUGAUUCAAAAUCCGCCGUUGGAAACAACGUGUCGGUUCGAGUCCGACCCUAGGCACCA